RNAcentral lists this transfer-messenger RNA (409 nucleotides) under Mycoplasma putrefaciens. RNAcentral's name for it is "Standard tmRNA". It matches the Rfam family "transfer-messenger RNA". From Rfam's summary of the family: Bacterial tmRNA, also known as 10Sa RNA or SsrA, is named for its dual tRNA and mRNA-like properties. The record is from RNAcentral. RNAcentral also lists the same sequence under 1 other name. Lineage: Bacteria; Bacillati; Mycoplasmatota; Mollicutes; Mycoplasmatales; Mycoplasmataceae.
GGGGAUGUCAUGGCUUCGACAGGAUAAAAUCAGCAUAUAUAAGCAGUAGUGUGGUAGACUAUAAAUACUUCUAGGUUUUAAAAAACGCAAACAAAAAAACUGAAGAAUUUGAAAUGCCAGCAUUUAUGAUCAACAAUGCAUCAGCUGGAGCGAACUUAAUGUUUGCUUAAUAACUAGUUAAUAGUUAUAGUGUUUCACGAAUUAUAGGUAUUUUAGGCUUUAUCUAUAACCGUAUUACCCAAGUCUAAUAGGAUUUAUGAUUGCAAUAAAUAUAUCUAAAACUUAAUUGCAAAUGAUUCUUAGCCUUUAGUUAAUUUUAGUUAAGAAUCAAAUUAGAAAAUUAACUAAACUGUAGAAAGUAUGUGUAGGUUUAUUUUGGACGCGAGUUCGAUUCUCGCCAUCUCCACCA